This 255-nucleotide unclassified non-coding RNA is filed under the name Hevea brasiliensis (rubber tree). Lineage: Eukaryota; Viridiplantae; Streptophyta; Magnoliopsida; Malpighiales; Euphorbiaceae. The record is from RNAcentral.
AGCAUGAAUGAGAUGCCUGAGAUUGUUCUCAGCUUUGAGAACAAGAAGCUCCCGAUCCAUCACAUUCCUGGCCCAGAAGGUGUCCGAGGCCGUAACUCAGACAACACCCUGAUCAAAGAGAAGCUUGGUUGGGCUCCCACAAUGAAGCUGAAGGACGGGCUGAGAAUUACCUACUUCUGGAUCAAGGAACAGAUUGAGAAAGAGAAGGCUCAAGGUAUUGACUUGUCCAUUUACGGAUCAUCUAAAGUGGUGGGA